AAUAUUGGUCAAUGGGGGCAACCCUGAUCCAGCCAUCCCGCGUGUGCGAUGAAGGCCUUCGGGCAAUAAAGCACUUUUGGCUGGGAAGAAAAGUCGCCGGAUAAUACCUUGCGCCGCUUAUGGUACCUGCAGAAUCAGAACCGCCUACCUACGUCCCAGCAGCCGCGGUAAUACGUAGGGUGCAAGCGUUAAUCGGAAUUACUGGGCGUAAAGCGUGCGCAGGCGGUUCGGAAAGAAAGAUGUGAAAUCCCAGGGCUUAACCUUGGAACUGCAUUUUUAACUGCCGGGCUAGAGUAUGUCAGAGGGGGGUAGAAUUCCACGUGUAGCAGUGAAAUGCGUAGAGAUGUGGAGGAAUACCGAUGGCGAAGGCAGCCCCCUGGGAUAAUACUGACGCUCAUGCACGAAAGCGUGGGGAGCAAACAG
This 423-nucleotide ribosomal RNA is filed under the name uncultured bacterium. Its description in RNAcentral is "partial 16S ribosomal RNA". It matches the Rfam family "Bacterial small subunit ribosomal RNA", at positions 360 to 775 of the family's 1533-position model. The record is from RNAcentral.